GAUGAACGCUGGCGGCGUGCCUAAUACAUGCAAGUCGAGCGAACAGACGAGGAGCUUGCUCCUCUGACGUUAGCGGCGGACGGGUGAGUAACACGUGGAUAACCUACCUAUAAGACUGGGAUAACUUCGGGAAACCGGAGCUAAUACCGGAUAAUAUAUUGAACCGCAUGGUUCAAUAGUGAAAGACGGUUGUGCUGUCACUUAUAGAUGGAUCCGCGCCGCAUUAGCUAGUUGGUAAGGUAACGGCUUACCAAGGCAACGAUGCGUAGCCGACCUGAGAGGGUGAUCGGCAACCCUGGAACUGAGACACGGUCCAGACUCCUACGGGAGGCAGCAGUAGGGAAUCUUCCGCAAUGGGCGAAAGCCUGACGGAGCAACGCCGCGUGAGUGAUGAAGGUCUUCGGAUCGUAAAACUCUGUUAUUAGGGAAGAACAAAUGUGUAAGUAACUAUGCACGUCUUGACGGUACCUAAUCAGAAAGCCACGGCUAACUACGUG
This 497-nucleotide ribosomal RNA is filed under the name uncultured bacterium. RNAcentral's name for it is "partial 16S ribosomal RNA". It matches the Rfam family "Bacterial small subunit ribosomal RNA", at positions 28 to 507 of the family's 1533-position model. The record is from RNAcentral.